Long non-coding RNA from Peromyscus eremicus (cactus mouse), 2870 nucleotides. RefSeq lists it as uncharacterized. The transcript is spliced from 2 exons. NCBI's taxonomy places the organism in Eukaryota, Metazoa, Chordata, Mammalia, Rodentia, Cricetidae. The record is from RefSeq and is a predicted model, not a curated record.
CCUCGGUUUCCUUCUUAUCCACAGGCUCCCAGCUGGCUUCUGAAAGGCAGUCCUCACUGUGAUCAGAGCCGAAGUCUUCGGUGUCACUGCUGUCUGACUCCUUCAAACAUGUCUGCAGCAGAGACAGCAGCAUCACUCCUUCAGCACCAGCACUCGCCAGUGUCCUACUGUCCUACGUGUGUUACCAUGCAGAAACUGAUGUGGUGCCUCACAACAGUCAUGAAUUUUAUUAGUACUGUCCUCACCGUCCAAAGACAGUGAGUCACAGAGAACUAGGGCUGGGCACACAGACAGUAUUCAACAAGUGACACUGAAUGGAGAGAAUAAAUGGAUGGACAGGUGGCAGCUGGUGAAUACUCACAAAGUCGUCCUCAUAGUCCAUGGGCGGCUCCGCUGGAGGGGCACAGCAGUGACGGAUGUCUAGCCUCAUCUGAAGCUCUCGAACCUGUCGACGUAGCUGUUCUACCUCUUGCUUGUACCCUGCUUCGAUCUGCCGUAGCCUAUGCUGGAUCACAUCCGUGGGAAAGGGGAGUCCAUCGUCAUCCAGGUAGAGAGGAGGCACAGGAGAAGGGCAGCUCAGGAGAGAAGGCUUUGUGCUGGAGACUUGCUUUGGAUGACUAGACAACCACAUCCGGUUGUUCUUUCCUCCUGGGCCUGUACAAUGUCCACUGGCAUGACUAGAACAGACGGGUGACUUCACCCCUUCUCUCUGAGCCCACUGGCCCCCAAAGCAGGGCCCUGCAGCUUGAAUAUGCUUAUUGCUCGGCCUCUUGCUGCAACAGCCGUAAGCAAGCCGUCGCCGGGGGGUGGUCUCCCCACUCGGGAAUGACGUCAUCAUCCCUUGGAAGCUGUCCCAGUUCGACCCCAAAAAGGAGAACUCACUUAUCUGGCUCUGAGAAAUUGGCUUUCGGGCCAACUCCAACGGCAUCUUUCCAAAGCGAGGAUUUUCUACUAUCUGUCCAUUCUUACUUCCCCUCUUGCCGGCGUCUUCCUUCUUGUAGAUCAGAUCUGGCACCGAACUAGGCUGUUCCUGGCGGGAGAUACUCGCCGUAGACCCAGGGGGAUCUUGGCUGAGGAGGUCAGUAUUUGGCUCUUGAGGAGUUUGGCUGGCAGCACUUGGUGGGUUGCAGAGGCUACCCGGACUGUGAUCUAGAGUACACCGUGUGGGCACAGCCUGCAUGGAGUCUAGAUGGGCCUGCUGGGGAGCACCUGUCAGGGAAUCCUGGGAAGGCUCAGGAAAAUCACAGGCUCCACCACCCUUGCUGGAAAAAUUAGAGAGUGCACUGACAACUUCCUUUUCUGGACACUGUUCAGGUGGCUUCCCUAAGCCAUCAGAAGUCCUCUGCUCCUCUUGGGCUGGAGAGACUGCAGCCAGUGCCUUAGUCUCUUCCAGGACUUUGAUCUCUGAGGUGGUGUUCUUCAUUUCCCAGGGCACAGAAGUACUAAGUAAUUUGUAACUGAGAGAACAGCUUUUGUGGCCCUUGAAAGGUUUACUGCUCAAGUAGUCUUUCUGGCUGCUGGGCAGAGGAGGAGGAAGGCCCACUUCCCCCACAGCCGGCUGUGGGCCUCCUGCCCCCGAGUCUACUGUCUCCGUGCCUUCAGAACCGCCGUGCCAGGGCUCCAGGCUGCCUCUGACCUCCUGACAGUGGUUAUUCAGGUUAGGGUCACUGGAGGUACGAGUGAGAGGGCUGCUCGUGUCACAGGCAGAAAGAAGGUCAUCCAUGGACCUGGUUUUAGGUAACCUGGAACGACAAACGUAGACCCACCAGGUCAGAAAUAGGAAACACUGCCAAUCAGGUCAUCAGAGCAGUACCAGAACCAAUUUGACAAAACAUUUAAUAUUACAAAUAACCGAAGUUCUCUGGGGGUCUUCUCUGCACAAAGCGUAAGACACACUCAUCUUCAAGAAUGCUUAUCUGUCCCCAGCUCUUGUAAGUUCUCACCCGACAUAAUCUUCCAGGGCCAUCUCAAACACUUUGAUGGUUUCAACUGCCUGUGAUGCUGAUGCACCCCACUCCCCUAUAUAAAGUCUGUGCUGGACACUAAAUUUAGGGCUUUGUGUUUGCAAAACACAUGCUCUAUCACUAAGCCACACCCCAAAGCCUACUGAUGACUCUAAGUCCACAACUGUAGCCAGUACCACACCUAACUGUCAAGGCAGCAUCUCACUGUCUCCAUCAGUCAGACAACUGAUUAACUGCCAGAAAGUGCAUUGUUCAACCUCUCAGGCACUUGGUUAUCACCUCCACAGGACAUUAACGUUAUUCCUUAGAGACACCAGAAGGCUUCAGAAUUUAGGCAACCAACCACAAUUAUUAGUCACAAACUUAUCAAGAAGGCAUGACUUCUCAACACAAAUGUUUGCAGACACUUAGCAGUGUGUCCCUCCAAUUCUCCAAACCCCACAGAAACUUCUUGUAGAUGGCACUCAAAGAACUAAAGAAACACUCCUAUUCACCAAAUGAGUGACAGGCAUUUUCAAGAGUGGUUGUCUUGAGGGUGUGUUUUUUUUUUGUUUUGUUUUGUUUUGUUUUUUGGUUUAGCUUUGGUGCCUGUCCUGGAACUCACUCUGUAGACCAGGCUGGCCUCAAACUCAUAGAGAUUCGCCUGCCUCUGCCUCCCGAGUGCUAGGUUGGGAUUAAAGGCAUGCCUCACCACCGCCUGGCUGGUUGUCCUGAUUUUUACUGCAAAAUCUUUUGAGCAAUAAAAAUUUAGGGAAAUUGUCCAAGAAACAGACACUUCACUGGGCUCUUCUCAGAUGCCAUAAUCAGCUCACAUCAAAAAACCUCCAAAAGCCAAGUCACAAUAUAGCUUAUUUUAAGUACUUAGUUUUGAUAUUUAUUAUAAUAAAAGACUGUUUUUAUAUUUGA